Molecule: ribosomal RNA, 531 nt
Filed under: Triticum aestivum (bread wheat)
Lineage: Eukaryota; Viridiplantae; Streptophyta; Magnoliopsida; Poales; Poaceae
Description: partial small subunit ribosomal RNA
Source: RNAcentral
AUGAGGGCUGAAGCCCGCGGCCAGCUCACCCGUCUCCGCGGCGUGAUCCUCAACUGCGAGGGGUGCCUCUCUUACUUCCUCCACUCCAUCGAGCACCAGGUCCGAGACCCGCUCGAGCUAGCCGCCGACUUCGCCGCUGCUGCUGCCAAGGCGGAGGCGGAGGCGCAGGACUACAACGAAGGGUUCAAGCUUCAGGCCGGUGAUGAGUAUUACCUGAGCUCCCUGAACUUCUUCGCGCCGUCUGUGGGGGCCGCCUUCGCCGGGUUCUGGGGCGUCCGCUGGCUAGAUUGCGCCGAGGAUGGGCUUCUUGAGGUUCUUCGCUACUUGGAGUUGAACCUCGAAAUCGACGUUGAUCAGUGCUUUGUGGACCGCACGAGGGAUGCCUUCGACCAUGUGAACAACGCCCAGGCUUGCUUGAUUCGAGCCCAUGCUUCCCUCCGUCCAGGAAUAUGCUAUCUAGGUUACACGUCAAUGAAAUCCACAGGAGUCCUCUCGCCAGUCCACCAGUACACGUUCAGCAGCACAGGGUAA